Molecule: long non-coding RNA, 1475 nt
Filed under: Gopherus agassizii (Agassiz's desert tortoise)
Lineage: Eukaryota; Metazoa; Chordata; Testudines; Testudinidae
Description: lncRNA (ENSGAGG00000008911.1)
Source: RNAcentral
GGAAAAUCUCUGAAACAUACAGAGGGAAUUUCCAAUUAGUCAUGGAAUGAUUUACAAUCUAUGGAUUAGCUGAAGCUUGUCGGGAUGUUUGCCAACAGACACAGUCAGAGGCAAGUUACUCUCAAGCUGUACAGCUUCCGCCUCAAUGAACUGGACUGAGAAGAGUUGUAUUUAAUAGAUGGACAGAACAAAAACCAACCACAACUAUGCUGGGUUUGCUGGGUUUUAUUGUGUGGUACCAGCAAGAGCAGCAGGAACUGAAGCACAAUCUCCUCCCCCAUCCUCCUCCAGACUCUCUCACUCACUGCCUUGCUCGGAGUGGGGUGAAGGUCAGCUAAGCCAGCCAGCCGGAGUCAGGAGCUGGGAAGACAGAAGAUCUAUGCUGCCACACCUCAGUGAAUUUCCUUAUAUCUCAGCGCUCCCCAGGGAUCUCCUGCUCUCAAGUGAGUCUCUGUUUUAUUCUAUUUUUUUUUAAACACACAUGAAGUUUUUCAGCACUGAUCUGGACUGUUCAGGGUCAGAGACCUGGUGGACAGGCAAUGGGGCAUCAGUUUAUGCUGAAGUCUUAAAAGCAGAAACAAAACAAAGAAUCCAGGAACUUGAGCAAAGAAAUGUGCAUAGAAAAACACAACUUUAAAAUAACUUCCUUGAUCUCCAAAGAGCCAGUUCCCCGUAGUGUAAGUGCUUUGGACAGAGGUUCUUUGACAGAACAUAGAUGAGUUCUGUUUAGAUAAGGGGAACCUUAAGUGUUGAAGAUACAGUGGUGAAAUGGAACGAUUAGAAUGGACUGGAAAUGAUUUCCUGUUUGCAGAUGGACUGGCACAGAGACAGGUAGACUGACUUUUUUUUAAGGCACUUCCAAAGCAUGUCAAUAUGAAGGUACCAAUGUAAGCAAGUUUGAACUGAUUAACAAGUGAUUUGUCGAGGGCAAUCCAGAGGGAAACUGCCAAACCAAGCACCUGGCUAUAUAUGUAUUCUGUGUACUGCUGUAGGGUUUACCUGUGUAAAUGAUCACUCAGAAGGACCCAAUCUAAAUAUUUUCCUCAUCUGUAAACAAUUUUUCUCCCUAUUAUUUACGGUGAACCUUGGGAAACUUGACGUUGGAAGGCUUUGUACUGAAAUCCUUCCACCAGAAAACAUGCUGGUUUGCUACUGAACAGCAUAAAGUUUCAUUGUUGUAGGAGCUUGUGCUGUUGAGAAUUUCCUCAGAUUUCUGACACUUCUUUUGAACAAAUCACUGAGGGAUUGGUUUUGUGGGGGCUGUAAAUGCAUAUAUCGAAUUAAGAAGAAAAUAUUCAGCACUUACUCAGCAAUUUCUAUGUACAGCUAUUAACUAGUAAUCUAAAAAAAAAGACUUUUCAACUGGGAGAAAUGGCCAGAUACCAGCUCACAACAUAGUGUAAUUCUAAGAAUUUCAUGACCAUCUUAAUUAUGUAUUCAUAAGCGAUCUCAGUGUCUUUUACCACAUUUCACUA